This is a long non-coding RNA of Impatiens glandulifera, 595 nucleotides long. RefSeq lists it as uncharacterized. The transcript is spliced from 4 exons. The record is from RefSeq and is a predicted model, not a curated record. NCBI's taxonomy places the organism in Eukaryota, Viridiplantae, Streptophyta, Magnoliopsida, Ericales, Balsaminaceae.
UAUACAUAGAAAUGAGCAAACUCUACAUCAUAAUAAGCGAUCGACAGAAAGAUAGAGGCGGACGAAGCGGCCGGAGUCUGGCAGCUUAACCCCCAAAUCCGACUAUAGUAGCAUCUGCUAAUUCUCGGGUCUAGAGCUAUGAAUUGGGUUCAGCGAAAAAUAUACCUGUACAAUGUCACAUUUGGGCUCUAUAUGUUGGACUGGUGGGAGCGGUGUCUUUUCAACACUCUGGUGCUUAUGCUAAUUUGGUAUGUUUGCUACAACAGUUUUCAACACGCCACUCAGUUCUAUACGAGAUUCAGCCUUGAUAAACUACCACAGCAAGGAUCAACCUAUCGAUAAAUCUUGACGAACCGGGACAGUCUCCUGCUAAUGUGAUUAGCUCAUCUGUGUUAUAUUUGUAAGUUAAUUUUAUUUGAAUACGAGGAGUUUUGUUGAAAUUGGAUGUUAUAGACAACAAUCUUAUGGUCUUUUUUAGUAUGAGGAUUAUGAAUAGGAUGCUUCUUUUGUGUUAUCAAUAAUCUAAAUUAUACUAAUAUGUAUUCAUAUCAAACCUCCUUUUCCUUUCUAAAGAAAACUUUCAUACAAGAUAGUU